AGUAGGGCGGGACACGUGUUAUCCUGUCUGAAUAUGGGGGGACCAUCCUCCAAGGCUAAAUACUCCUGACUGACCGAUAGUGAACCAGUACCGUGAGGGAAAGGCGAAAAGAACCCCUGUGAGGGGAGUGAAAUAGAACCUGAAACCGUGUACGUACAAGCAGUAGGAGCACCUUCGUGGUGUGACUGCGUACCUUUUGUAUAAUGGGUCAGCGACUUAUAUUCAGUGGCAAGGUUAACCAUCUAGGGGAGCCGUAGGGAAACCGAGUCUUAACUGGGCGCCAUAGUCUCUGGAUAUAGACCCGAAACCGAGUGAUCUAGCCAUGGGCAGGUUGAAGGUUGAGUAACAUCAACUGGAGGACCGAACCGACUAAUGUUGAAAAAUUAGCGGAUGACUUGUGGCUAGGGGUGAAAGGCCAAUCAAACUCGGAGAUAGCUGGUUCUCCCCGAAAGCUAUUUAGGUAGCGCCUCGGACGAAUACUACUGGGGGUAGAGCACUGUUAAGGCUAGGGGGUCAUCCCGACUUACCAACCCUUUGCAAACUCCGAAUACCAGUAAGUACUAUCCGGGAGACACACGGCGGGUGCUAACGUCCGUCGUGGAGAGGGAAACAACCCAGACCGCCAGCUAAGGUCCCAAAUUACAGCUAAGUGGGAAACGAUGUGGGAAGGCUUAGACAGCUAGGAUGUUGGCUUAGAAGCAGCCAUCAUUUAAAGAAAGCGUAAUAGCUCACUAGUCGAGUCGGCCUGCGCGGAAGAUGUAACGGGGCUAAGUUGUAAACCGAAGCUGCGGCAAUGUUCUAUGAAC
RNAcentral lists this ribosomal RNA (806 nucleotides) under Vibrio vulnificus. RNAcentral describes it as "partial 23S ribosomal RNA". It matches the Rfam family "Bacterial large subunit ribosomal RNA", at positions 411 to 1222 of the family's 2925-position model. The record is from RNAcentral. Lineage: Bacteria; Pseudomonadati; Pseudomonadota; Gammaproteobacteria; Vibrionales; Vibrionaceae.